AGUGAACGCUGGCGGUAGGCCUAACACAUGCAAGUCGAACGGCAGCACAGUGAGAUCUUGCUCUUACCGGUGGCGGGUGGCGGGCGGGUAACGAAUACAUCAGAAUCUACUUUUUCGGGGGGGAUAACGUAGGAAAACUUACGCUAAUACCGCAUACAACCUACGGGUGAAAGCAAGGGAUCUUCGGACCUUUCGCGAUUGAAUGAGCCGAUGUCGGAUUAGCUAGUUGGCGGGGUAAAGGCUCACCAAGGCAACGAUACGUAGCCGGCCUGAGAGGAUGAUCGGCCACACUGGAACUGAGACACGGUCCAGACUCCUACGGGAGGCAGCAGUGGGGAAUAUUCCGCAAUGGGCGAAAGCCUGACGGAGCAACGCCGCGUGAGUGAAGAAGGUCUUCGGAUCGUAAAACUCUGUUAUUAGGGAAGAACAGCUGUGUGAGAAUCUACGCAUGUCUUGACGGUACCUAAUCAGUAAGCCCCGGCUAACUUCGUG
RNAcentral lists this ribosomal RNA (492 nucleotides) under uncultured bacterium. RNAcentral's name for it is "partial 16S ribosomal RNA". It matches the Rfam family "Bacterial small subunit ribosomal RNA", at positions 29 to 507 of the family's 1533-position model. The record is from RNAcentral.